UAGCUUAGUUGGUAGUGCGUCUGCCUUGUAAGCACUAGACCGCGGGUUCGAUUCCCGC
RNAcentral lists this transfer RNA (58 nucleotides) under Diaphorina citri (Asian citrus psyllid). It matches the Rfam family "tRNA", at positions 8 to 63 of the family's 71-position model. Rfam says of the family: Transfer RNA (tRNA) molecules are approximately 80 nucleotides in length. Their secondary structure includes four short double-helical elements and three loops (D, anti-codon, and T loops). Lineage: Eukaryota; Metazoa; Arthropoda; Insecta; Hemiptera; Psyllidae. The record is from Rfam by way of RNAcentral.